UGGAGUAUUAACAAACCGAGGAAAAGAUACCAAAAAUAAUUUUCGGCGGUGAAGAAAUAAAUCGGGGAAGCUAACCGGCGGGGUUAUACUCUCAUUCGGCACUCGAGGGAGGCCCAGAUGAAGAAGAAGAAGUGUUUGAGUGCGCGAUGGUGGAUUUCAUUGUUUUACCGUGACUUAUCGACAAGUGAAUUAUGAUAAUUUAUUGUGACAAUAGACAAUGACACUUUGGAAAAGUUAAAUCAGUGGGUUUGAUAUGCAUCACCAAAGAGGACACUCAAUUCAAUAAUAGGAGAACAACCAAGUGCACUGGAGCAAUGAAAUGGCAUAUCGCAAGACGUACCACAUAAAGUCCAAAUGCUCGGUUAACCCGAAACCAGAGGAAAUGACUCUCGUGAGGUAUUCAACCGAUGGUCUUGUAUAAAUUAGCCCGCGAGUUGGAACAAUGGGUGGUGAAUUUGAGUCGAGGUAAAGUGACGUAAUUGAAUUGGAACUGAUCUAUCCGGGCUUUCCUUCCUCCGCAAAAUGUAUAGAUAUAAAUGGUGCAUUGAUACUGUGCGCUGAAGAAAGAUGAGAGACUCUCAUACCACGAUGGAUGAACGCGAGGAUGAUGUCUCGAUGAAUUUUUAAUCCUCAGCAUUGCUCAAUCUUGAUGCAUUUCGCUCCAAAUACUUGGAAGUGCUCUCAUGAUUUAUCACAGAAUUCGUCUACAAGAAGAGAGCUUCAAAAUAGAUGUAAUUAUUAAGGCAUCCCAGUGUCGGAGAGUGACAAUAAUGAUAGAAACGACUCAUGACUUGACAAUGUAGAAAUUGUACCUUUACAUUGAAUAAAUAUCGAUAUUCGUCCAAAUCCCGAA
Molecule: long non-coding RNA, 853 nt
Organism: Fopius arisanus
Lineage: Eukaryota; Metazoa; Arthropoda; Insecta; Hymenoptera; Braconidae
Exons: 3
Source: RefSeq, a predicted model, not a curated record